RNAcentral lists this ribosomal RNA (240 nucleotides) under uncultured bacterium. RNAcentral describes it as "partial 16S ribosomal RNA". It matches the Rfam family "Bacterial small subunit ribosomal RNA", at positions 796 to 1041 of the family's 1533-position model. The record is from RNAcentral.
CUAGCCGUAAACGAUGGACACUAGGUGUGGGCGAAUGUUUCGUCCGUGCCGCAGCCAACGCAUUAAGUGUCCCGCCUGGGGAGUACGGCCGCAAGGCUAAAACUCAAAGGAAUUGACGGGGGCCCGCACAAGCAGCGGAGCAUGUGGCUUAAUUCGAAGCAACGCGAAGAACCUUACCAGGGCUUGACAUUUAGGUGAAGCGGCGGAAACGUCGUGGCCGAAAGGAGCCUAAACAGGUGG